GAGUUUGAUCAUGGCUCAGGACGAACGCUGGCGGCGUGCUUAACACAUGCAAGUCGAACGAAGAGCGAUGGAAGCUUGCUUCUAUCAAUCUUAGUGGCGAACGGGUGAGUAACGCGUAAUCAACCUGCCCUUCAGAGGGGGACAACAGUUGGAAACGACUGCUAAUACCGCAUACGAUCUAACCUCGGCAUCGAGGAAAGAUGAAAGGUGGCCUCUAUGUAUAAGCUAUCACUGAAGGAGGGGAUUGCGUCUGAUUAGCUAGUUGGAGGGGUAACGGCCCACCAAGGCGAUGAUCAGUAGCCGGUCUGAGAGGAUGAACGGCCACAUUGGGACUGAGACACGGCCCAGACUCCUACGGGAGGCAGCAGUGGGGAAUCUUCCGCAAUGGACGAAAGUCUGACGGAGCAACGCCGCGUGAGUGAUGACGGCCUUCGGGUUGUAAAGCUCUGUUAAUCGGGACGAAAGGCCUUCUUGCGAAUAGUUAGAAGGAUUGACGGUACCGGAAUAGAAAGCCACGGCUAACUACGUGCCAGCAGCCGCGGUAAUACGUAGGUGGCAAGCGUUGUCCGGAAUUAUUGGGCGUAAAGCGCGCGCAGGCGGAUCAGUCAGUCUGUCUUAAAAGUUCGGGGCUUAACCCCGUGAGGGGAUGGAAACUGCUGAUCUAGAGUAUCGGAGAGGAAAGUGGAAUUCCUAGUGUAGCGGUGAAAUGCGUAGAUAUUAGGAAGAACACCAGUGGCGAAGGCGACUUUCUGGACGAAAACUGACGCUGAGGCGCGAAAGCCAGGGGAGCGAACGGGAUUAGAUACCCCGGUAGCCCUGGCCGUAAACGAUGGGUACUAGGUGUAGGAGGUAUCGACCCCUUCUGUGCCGGAGUUGACGCAAUAAGUACCCCGCCUGGGGAGUACGACCGCAAGGUUGAAACUCAAAGGAAUUGACGGGGGCCCGCACAAGCGGUGGAGUAUGUGGUUUAAUUCGACGCAACGCGAAGAACCUUACCAGGUCUUGACAUUGAUGGACAGAACUAGAGAUAGUUCCUCUUCUUCGGAAGCCAGAAAACAGGUGGUGCACGGUUGUCGUCAGCUCGUGUCGUGAGAUGUUGGGUUAAGUCCCGCAACGAGCGCAACCCCUAUCUUAUGUUGCCAGCACUUCGGGUGGGAACUCAUGAGAGACUGCCGCAGACAAUGCGGAGGAAGGCGGGGAUGACGUCAAAUCGUCAUGCCCCUUAUGACCUGGGCUACACACGUACUACAAUGGGAGUUAAUAGACGGAAGCGAGAUCGCGAGAUGGAGCAAACCCGAGAAACACUCUCUCAGUUCGGAUCGUAGGCUGCAAACUCGCCUACGUGAAGUCGGAAUCGCUAGUAAUCGCAGGUCAGCAUACUGCGGUGAAUACGUUCCCGGGCCUUGCACACACCGCCCGUC
Molecule: ribosomal RNA, 1421 nt
Filed under: uncultured bacterium
Lineage: Bacteria
Description: bacterial SSU rRNA
Rfam family: Bacterial small subunit ribosomal RNA
Source: RNAcentral